GCCAUCUUGUGCCCCGCCGGCACUCGAGGCGCAUUGGGGUGUCCGCCAUCCUCUGCUGCUCAGAACAGAACAGCGGUGCGGGACAAGCCCAGAGAAUGGGCCGGAGCCCAUGGGCCAUGCUGUACCCCACAAUGAUUGAUCCACUGACACCCACUGCUGUUGGGUGCUGGUCCAGGUGCAUGUAGCACAGCGCUGUGCAGGCUAUUAUUAGAGAGGCACUUGGAAGAGAGCCCCUGGGAUACGUCCCACUUCAGUUGACAGCAGCAGCCUUGAAGCACUGCUUAGGGCAUCAGCCUGCCUUUGAAGCUCUAGUGAUGGCAUCUCCGGUGCAUGUAGUCAGGACAGACGGAAAGCCAGAAACCAGCUGACAGCUUAACACUUUCAGACCAAUGAGGGAAGACUACAGCUGAACUAUUCAAUUGUGAGUUACAGUGCAGGUAAGCCUAGCCUGGGCUGUUCUACUUACUUCCCUUUCCUUAGUGGAGCCUCCCUGCUCACAGACAUGCUGACUGCAGUCAGAACUGCUAUCCCAGAGCAACUCAGGCAGGGGAGUGAUACAAAAACAUACAGAAAGGUGUGAAAACACAAGGACAGAUACAUUUCUGACAUGUACAGGAGAUGGGAUAGUGAGGUGAGAUAGCAGCUUGACCAAAUGGAAAGAGAGGGAUCAAUCUGGAACGUGACAAGGAAGAGAAUAUGGUUAAAUAUCGUAAUGUUUCUUAAAAGUCUGCAGUGUAGCUGAAAUCCUUUUUAGGCUAUGGAAAAGCUGCCCGAGACAGGUCAUUUAUCCUGAAACACUUGGAAAUGUGACAGCACAAAAGUGCAGAGUUAUGUUUUGAGUCUAGACAAGAUAAAUCAGGGCAUAGAGACCCCAAAACACUCUCCCAUUACAUAAGCAGGCUCAAACAUAAGACAUCAUUCAAAACCAACAUCAUUUAAUUCUUCCCUCUUCAGGACGGGAACAGAGCAGACACUCCUGGGGUUACAUGAGCAAGCAGAAAGAGGGGUAAGGGACUAACCGAGCUAGGAAAUCCCAGCUAAACAUGCAGGCAAUAGAACCACUCUACUCAAGACAGCCCAGAUCUGGGUGGG
Molecule: long non-coding RNA, 1092 nt
Organism: Coturnix japonica (Japanese quail)
Lineage: Eukaryota; Metazoa; Chordata; Aves; Galliformes; Phasianidae
Source: RefSeq, a predicted model, not a curated record